CGUGAACAGAUUUUCCUUCCUUCAGUCUAGCUGACCUACCACAAGCAGAAACCACAGUCACCUUGGUCGUAUCAUUACCUUUAAACCCCAUCCCAACCAUUUGCCGAAAGAGCUUUAACCCCAUCCCAACCAUAGAAUUCCAAGACACCAAAUACCUCACUGAAAAGCAUAGGACUUUAUAACAAUAUUUAUACAAAAAGUAUCGGGUAAAGAAAUACAUCGAAAAAUCAAUAGAGUGUAAUCGAGGUCACCGAAAUCUGCAAAAAGCUUCAAAAUUCGGCCGGCGAAAGAUGGGUUUUGGAAGAGAGCAGACGUGAGCAGACGAGCUUGGAUUUGGAACAGUUGGGCCAUGUUUUGACAUGUUUUGAGGAGGUUUAGGGUAUGGUGGACAGAGACGGUAUUAGGAUCCAAAUUAAAAUAGGAAGACGAAGAAGAAAAGAAGAACGGUAAUGAUGAACAAGAGAGGAAACUAAAAGUUAGAUCCUGUACCUGAAAAAUCCCAAUAUUCUGUGCAACGAACCGACUGUCGAUCGGUGUUAAAGUGUGCCAUCCGCUUGUCUUUGCCAUGGAUCUAGAGAUUUGAGAGUUACAGGAAAACCCUAGCUUUUGUUUUCCACAUGGAACGAGAGAGAUGAGAGACGAAGACACUCGGUUUUUAAGUUUACAUUUAACCGUCUUUUUUUUAGCUCCGUAUUUU
This 697-nucleotide long non-coding RNA is filed under the name Panax ginseng (ginseng). RNAcentral describes it as "long non-coding RNA (PGIN_LNC004242)". The record is from RNAcentral. Lineage: Eukaryota; Viridiplantae; Streptophyta; Magnoliopsida; Apiales; Araliaceae.